Molecule: ribosomal RNA, 253 nt
Filed under: uncultured bacterium
Lineage: Bacteria
Description: partial 16S ribosomal RNA
Rfam family: Bacterial small subunit ribosomal RNA
Source: RNAcentral
UACAGAGGUCUCAAGCGUUGUUCGGAUUUAUUGGGCGUAAAGGGCGCGUAGGCGGCGGGGUAAGUCGGGUGUGAAAUCUCAGGGCUCAACCCUGAAACUGCACUUGAUACUGCUCUGCUUGAGGACUGGAGAGGAGACUGGAAUUCACGGUGUAGCAGUGAAAUGCGUAGAUAUCGUGAGGAAGACCAGUGGCGAAGGCGGGUCUCUGGACAGUUCCUGACGCUGAGGCACGAAAGCGUGGGGAGCAAACAGG